UAGCUAGUUGGUGGGGUAAAGGCCUACCAAGGCGACGAUCGGUAGCUGGUCUGAGAGGAUGAACAGCCACACUGGGACUGAGACACGGCCCAGACUCCUACGGGAGGCAGCAGUGGGGAAUAUUGGACAAUGGGGGCAACCCUGAUCCAGCAAUGCCGCGUGUGUGAAGAAGGCCUGAGGGUUGUAAAGCACUUUCAGUGGGGAGGAGGAUUACUAGGUUAAGAGCCAGGUGAUUGGACGUUACCCACAGAAGAAGCACCGGCUAACUCCGUGCCAGCAGCCGCGGUAAUACGGAGGGUGCGAGCGUUAAUCGGAAUGACUGGGCGUAAAGGGUGCGUAGGUGGUCUGUUAAGUUAUGGGUGAAAUCACUGGGCUCAACCUGGUGUGGAAUCAUAAUACUGAUGGACUCGAGUAUAGGAGAGGGUAGUGGAAUUUCCGGUGUAGCGGUGAAAUGCGUAGAGAUCGGAAGGAACACCAGUUGCGAAGGCGGCUACCUGGCCUGGUACUGACACUGAGGCACGAAAGCGUGGGGAGCAAACAGGAUUAGAUACCCUGUUAGUCCACGCUGUAAACGAUGUCAACUAGCUGUUUCUUGUAUAAAGACAGGGAGUGGCGC
RNAcentral lists this ribosomal RNA (616 nucleotides) under uncultured Legionella sp. Its description in RNAcentral is "bacterial SSU rRNA". It matches the Rfam family "Bacterial small subunit ribosomal RNA", at positions 242 to 849 of the family's 1533-position model. The record is from RNAcentral. Lineage: Bacteria; Pseudomonadati; Pseudomonadota; Gammaproteobacteria; Legionellales; Legionellaceae.